Drosophila simulans is the source of this 5384-nucleotide RNA transcript. It is a transcript of the gene named protein retinal degeneration B, with no coding region annotated. The transcript is spliced from 13 exons. The record is from RefSeq and is a predicted model, not a curated record. NCBI's taxonomy places the organism in Eukaryota, Metazoa, Arthropoda, Insecta, Diptera, Drosophilidae.
CGUCAAUAGCCGGAGGGGAGUCCGCCAUUUCAACGACAAGGACCCAAGUCACGCGGUGUCAACAUGCUGAUCAAGGAGUACCGCAUUCCGCUGCCCCUCACCGUCGAGGAGUACCGCAUCGCCCAGCUCUACAUGAUUGCGAAAAAGAGUCGCGAGGAGAGUCAUGGCGAGGGCAGUGGCGUUGAGAUAAUCAUCAAUGAGCCGUACAAGGAUGGACCCGGCGGAAAUGGUCAAUACACGAAGAAGAUCUACCAUGUGGGCAAUCAUCUGCCUGGCUGGAUUAAAAGUCUCUUGCCGAAAAGCGCUUUAACCGUUGAGGAGGAGGCAUGGAAUGCCUAUCCGUAUACCAGGACUCGCUACACCUGUCCGUUUGUGGAGAAGUUCUCGCUGGACAUUGAGACAUACUACUAUCCGGACAAUGGCUAUCAGGACAAUGUCUUCCAGCUGUCCGGUAGCGAUCUGCGUAAUCGUAUCGUAGACGUGAUUGACAUUGUCAAGGAUCAGCUGUGGGGCGGUGACUAUGUGAAGGAGGAGGAUCCCAAGCACUUUGUGUCGGACAAGACGGGCCGCGGACCCUUGGCCGAGGAUUGGCUGGAGGAGUAUUGGCGCGAAGUGAAGGGCAAAAAGCAGCCGACACCGCGCAACAUGUCCCUGAUGACCGCCUACAAGAUCUGCCGCGUGGAGUUCCGCUACUGGGGCAUGCAGACGAAGCUAGAGAAGUUCAUCCAUGAUGUGGCGCUGCGCAAGAUGAUGCUGCGUGCCCAUCGGCAGGCGUGGGCAUGGCAGGACGAGUGGUUCGGCUUGACCAUCGAGGAUAUACGCGAGCUGGAGCGGCAGACGCAACUGGCCCUGGCCAAGAAGAUGGGCGGCGGCGAGGAGUGCAGCGACGACAGCGUCUCGGAGCCGUAUGUCAGCACGGCGGCCACCGCCGCCUCCGCAACGGGCAGCGAGCGAAAGAAGUCCGCUCCGGCUGUGCCGCCUAUUGUCACCCAGCAGCCGCCGAGCGCCGAGGCCAGUUCGGAUGAGGAGGGCGAGGAGGAGGAUGACGACGAGGACGAGAACGAUGCCAUUGGCACGGGCGUGGAUCUGUCUGCCAAUCAAGGCGGAUCUGCGCAGCGCUCGCGCUCCCAAAGUAUUCAGAUGGCCCAGAAGGGCAAGUUCGGGUCAAAGGGCGCCCUGCACUCGCCGGUGGGAUCUGCCCAUAGCUUUGAUCUCCAGUCCAAAAAGCCGCAUGCAAAGACAGCGCCACGCAGACAUGUGGCUAACUGGCGCAUGGAGCGAUUGGAAGUGGACUCCAAAUCCAAUUCGGAUGAGGAAUUCUUUGAUUGCCUGGACACCAACGAGACGAACUCGCUGGCCAAGUGGAGCUCGCUGGAGCUGCUGGGCGAGGGCGACGACAGUCCGCCGCCACAUGGCGGACCCUCUAGUGCAGCAUCGGUGGGUGGGCGUGGCAGCUCGCGGCAAGAGGACAGCAUAUUCAAUCAGGACUUUCUGAUGCGCGUAGCCUCGGAGCGCGGCAACAAGCGACAGUUACGCUCCUCGGCCAGCGUGGAUCGCAGUCACGAUUCAUCGCCGCCGGGAUCACCGAGCACACCGUCGUGUCCCACAACCAUUCUCAUUCUGGUUGUCCAUGCGGGCAGCGUUUUGGAUGCGGCCAGCGAGCUGACCGCCAAGAAAUCCGAUGUGACCACAUUCCGUGGCUCCUUCGAGGCGGUGAUGCGACAGCACUAUCCCAGCCUCCUCACCCAUGUGACCAUCAAGAUGGUGCCGUGCCCCUCAAUAUGCACCGACGCCCUGGGCAUUCUCUCCAGCCUGAGUCCGUACUCCUUUGAUGCGUCGCCCUCGGCGGCGGAUAUACCGAAUAUAGCCGAUGUCCCCAUUGGAGCCAUACCACUACUAUCCGUGGCAUCGCCAGAAUUCCACGAGACGGUCAACAAGACGGUUGCCGCUGCCAAUAUUGUCUACCAUGAGUUUUUGAAAUCGGAGGAGGGUCACGGAUUCUCCGGCCAAAUUGUCAUGCUGGGCGAUUCGAUGGGCUCGCUGCUGGCGUACGAGGCCCUCUGCCGAUCGAAUGGCAGCCAGCCGGGCACGGCUUCGGGUGCCUCGAAUUCCGGCGGAGAUGCGGCCACAAAUAUAAACACCCACAAUCCGUUGAGCGCUCGUAAUUCGCGAUUGGACGACGACGAGCGUUUCAUCGAAGCCGAUCUGGAUGCCAAGCGUUUGCUGGUGGCCCCAUCGCCACGUAGACGCCGUUCCAGCUCCUCCAGCGAUUCGCGGGCCACCAAAUUGGACUUUGAGGUCUGUGACUUCUUCAUGUUCGGAUCGCCGCUGUCUGUGGUGCUGGCUGCUCGGAAACUUCACGAUGCCAAGGCCGCCCUGCCGCGGCCCAACUGCCACCAGGUCUACAAUCUGUUCCAUCCAACCGAUCCGAUCGCCUCGCGCCUGGAGCCGCUACUGAGCGCCCGGUUUUCUAUAUUGGCGCCAGUCAAUGUCCCACGGUACGCCAAGUAUCCGCUGGGUAAUGGCCAGCCAUUGCAUUUAUUGGAGGUCAUUCAGUCGCAUCCGCAGCACUUUAACGAUGGCAACAACCUAUUGGCUGGUCGCCGUUUGUCGGACGCAUCCAUGCAGAGCACGAUAUCGGGUCUGAUUGAGAAUGUCUCGCUUAGUACGAUCCAUGCCCUGCAAAACAAAUGGUGGGGCACAAAGCGCUUGGAUUUCGCAUUAUAUUGCCCGGAGGGAUUGAGUAACUUCCCUGCUCAUGCCUUGCCGCACCUCUUCCAUGCCAGCUACUGGGAGAGUCCGGAUGUGAUUGCCUUUAUUCUACGGCAGAUUGGCAAAUUCGAGGGCAUACCCUUUGUGGGCUCCAACGAUGACAAGGACAAUGCCUCCUUCCAUCCCGGACAGCCGAGGGAGAAGUGGAUCAAGAAACGGACCUCGGUUAAGCUGAAAAAUGUGGCCGCCAAUCAUCGGGCCAACGAUGUGAUCGUGCAGGAGGGCAGGGAGCAGCGCUUGAAUGCGAGAUUUAUGUACGGACCCCUCGACAUGAUCACGCUGCACGGUGAAAAGGUGGAUGUGCACAUUAUGAAGGAUCCGCCGGCGGGCGAGUGGACAUUCCUCAGCACCGAGGUGACGGACAAGAACGGUCGCAUCUCGUACAGCAUUCCGGAUCAGGUAUCCCUUGGCUAUGGCAUAUAUCCGGUUAAGAUGGUGGUCCGUGGCGAUCACACCUCGGUGGAUUGCUAUAUGGCGGUGGUGCCGCCGUUGACCGAAUGCGUGGUCUUCAGCAUUGAUGGCUCCUUCACCGCUUCGAUGUCGGUGACGGGCAGGGAUCCCAAGGUGCGUGCCGGAGCUGUCGAUGUUUGCCGCCACUGGCAGGAGCUGGGCUACCUGCUCAUCUACAUCACCGGACGACCGGAUAUGCAGCAGCAACGCGUGGUGUCCUGGCUGAGCCAGCACAACUUCCCGCACGGCCUGAUCUCGUUCGCCGACGGCCUGUCCACCGAUCCAUUGGGCCACAAGACGGCCUAUCUCAACAAUUUGGUUCAGAACCAUGGAAUCUCAAUUACUGCCGCCUACGGCAGCAGCAAGGACAUUAGUGUCUACACGAAUGUUGGCAUGCGAACCGAUCAAAUCUUCAUCGUGGGCAAGGUUGGCAAGAAGCUGCAGUCGAAUGCCACCGUGCUUAGCGAUGGCUAUGCCGCCCACUUGGCCGGUUUGCAGGCUGUGGGUGGUUCGCGUCCGGCGAAGGGCAAUGCCCGCAUGGUCAUUCCCCGCGGAUGCUUCAAUCUUCCCGGCCAGACCGCGAAUCCGCGGCGCAGAAGGCUGCAUGAACAAGCAACGAAUGAAAAUUGAAUUGCAACUCAAGCAAACCAAUUGUUUAGAGCAAUGAAAAACAACAAUUAAAGCAUCUUGUAAACAGAUAGAAGCGUUGAAAACAAAAACAAAACAUUACAGACAAUUGAUGUUAGAAUUAGUGUUCUAGAAUAUGCCCAACACUCCCCACACAAUUUUUCAGUUCCUUUGUUACGUAUUUUGAAGCAUACCUAGCUGAGCAUUUUAUUGAUUGAUUGAUUGGUGUUGUGAAAAAAAGAAACAAAAUUGAUAAAAAAAAAUACGAUAAAUAUCGAUCUUAGAAACGUUUCCAUCUUAGAGCCAAAAUUCAACUCUUUCUCAACGUUAACUCUGUCUUUCUUUUUCCAAACAAAAAAUAUCCAAAAUUUGUCUGAAAAAAACAAAAACAAAAACAAAUCCAACACCACACCAACACACACACCUCACACCACGCACACACACUGCCAUCGACCGUGUCUGUCAUCGAUAAUCGAUAAACACAGCAACGAGACAGGACUCUCAUCACCCAUACGCAGUGGUUACCUGAAGCGCAAGACCUACCUGAGCCACCACUAGAGCAGCAGAGAUGCAGAUACAGAUGCAGCUAUAUAGAUCGAUCCAUCAGAUAGAAGUCCUCAGAACCCCAAUAGAACUCCCUUCGAUAUAGCGAAAAAAAAUAUAUAGAGCCAAUGGACAACAAGACCGAUGCCUCCAUAUGCCACAUCUGUGUAUAUACCAUAUAAAUAUAUAUUUAUAUACUAUGCGCGAUAUAUUGAAAGUUUAAUGGUGUAAUAUAUACAUAUAUCAAAUACCAAAAUUUGCAAAUGAGAAAAAAACAAUUGUACAACAUUUAACAAAAGUCAAAUGUGUCACGCGGUACCUGGAAAGAAAGACUGUUUCCUCCUGUUGUUUGAUGGUUUUCCAAACCACUUAAAGCAUAAAACAAACAUUGAAAACUACACGAAACAAAAGCCGAUCGCAAAGCUAUAUACUAAAUACAAUUAUAAAUGAUAUAUACAGAGAUAUAUUCGAAAUAUAGAACCGUUUAACAUAUGCAAGUGAACCAAGUUCAGCCAACCAAGUGAGUUACAACAACCGAAGGACAAACUACCGAAACCGAAGAUCUCCCAAUGAUUAAUGAUACCCACUGGAAGAGGAGCGAGGAGCGAGGAGCGCGGAUGGAGUUGCAAAUCAAAAAAAAGGCAAAUUUAAUGCAUUUCUCGAGAAACAACCACUACAAAAGUAUAAAUGAACGGCUUCCGUAAACCGAAUUAAAACCUAAAAGUAGAUAUAUGUAUCUAUGUGUAUGUGCGUGUAAAAUUGACAAAAAUACAAAUAAUCGGUUCUUAAGAAAAAAACCUAAAUGUAAAAACUUCUUGAAAUUGAAUACAAUCUCUUAACUGGCCCCAGAAAUUUCAAAUCUCCAUAAUUGUGAUAGUCUUUCGCUACCAAAAGUUAUUUAAAAAGAUGAUGAAACAGCAAAUUAUAUAUUUAUCUCUACUAAAAUUGUUAUUCGAAAAGGAAAGACAUUUCGGAAUGAAACAAAACAAAAA